AGGGGGGCCAGAGGGAGAGACAGAGACAGAAAAGAAAGACAAGAUCAGAGAUGGAAAGCAGGACAUUCUCCUCUACUUUGACAGAUUUAACUGGAGAGUUUUUAGAUAUGUUAAAUUGAAGAUCACUCCAGAUUCAGAAUCAUAAGGCUAAGCUGCUGUCCUAAAUUCUGGAAAUGAAAGGGAUAUACUCAGUAAUAAAAGAUGAAGACGAAGGUGAAAUUAACUAUUUUAAAUAAUUACA
Dromiciops gliroides (monito del monte) is the source of this 241-nucleotide long non-coding RNA. RefSeq lists it as uncharacterized. NCBI's taxonomy places the organism in Eukaryota, Metazoa, Chordata, Mammalia, Microbiotheria, Microbiotheriidae. The transcript is spliced from 3 exons. The record is from RefSeq and is a predicted model, not a curated record.